AUUGAACGCUGGCGGCAUGCCUUACACAUGCAAAUCGAACGGUAACGGGCCUUCGGGUGCCGACGAGUGGCGAACGGGUGAGUAAUACAUCGGAACGUGCCCGAUCGUGGGGGAUAACGAGGCGAAAGCUUUGCUAAUACCGCAUACGAUCUACGGAUGAAAGCAGGGGACCGCAAGGCCUUGCGCGGACGGAGCGGCCGAUGGCAGAUUAGGUAGUUGGUGGGAUAAAAGCUUACCAAGCCGACGAUCUGUAGCUGGUCUGAGAGGAUGAUCAGCCACAAUGGGAGUGAGACGCGCCCCAGCCCCCUAGGGGGGGAAGCAGGGGGGAUUUUUGGACAAGGGCCGCAGGCCUGUUCAAGCAUUGCGGCUUGCAGGUUGAGGUCCUUGGGGUUGUAAAUUGUUUUUGAAGGAAACAAAAACCCUUUUUUAAAAAAGGGGGGUUCAUGAGGGUACCGAAAAAAAAAGCCCCGGCUAACUACGUG
This 482-nucleotide ribosomal RNA is filed under the name uncultured bacterium. RNAcentral's name for it is "partial 16S ribosomal RNA". It matches the Rfam family "Bacterial small subunit ribosomal RNA", at positions 30 to 507 of the family's 1533-position model. The record is from RNAcentral.